GAUGAACGCUGGCGGCGUGCCUAAUACAUGCAAGUAGAACGCUGAAGGAAGGAGCUUGCUCUUUCCGGAUGAGUUGCGAACGGGUGAGUAACGCGUAGGUAACCUGCCUGGUAGCGGGGGAUAACUAUUGGAAACGAUAGCUAAUACCGCAUAACAGUAGAUGUUGCAUGAUAUCUACUUAAAAGGUGCAAUUGCACCACUACCAGAUGGACCUGCGUUGUAUUAGCUAGUUGGUGAGGUAACGGCUCACCAAGGCGACGAUACAUAGCCGACCUGAGAGGGUGAUCGGCCACACUGGGACUGAGACACGGCCCAGACUCCUACGGGAGGCAGCAGUAGGGAAUCUUCGGCAAUGGACGGAAGUCUGACCGAGCAACGCCGCGUGAGUGAAGAAGGUUUUCGGAUCGUAAAGCUCUGUUGUAAGAGAAGAACGAGUGUGAGAGUGGAAAGUUCACACUGUGACGGUAGCUUACCAGAAAGGGACGGCUAACUGCGUG
RNAcentral lists this ribosomal RNA (497 nucleotides) under uncultured bacterium. Its description in RNAcentral is "partial 16S ribosomal RNA". It matches the Rfam family "Bacterial small subunit ribosomal RNA", at positions 28 to 507 of the family's 1533-position model. The record is from RNAcentral.